Molecule: ribosomal RNA, 429 nt
Filed under: Chloroflexota bacterium
Lineage: Bacteria; Bacillati; Chloroflexota
Description: Chloroflexi bacterium partial 16S ribosomal RNA
Rfam family: Bacterial small subunit ribosomal RNA
Source: RNAcentral
UGGGGAAUAUUGCACAAUGGGCGCAAGCCUGAUGCAGCCAUGCCGCGUGUAUGAAGAAGGCCUUCGGGUUGUAAAGUACUUUCAGUCGGGAGGAAGGUGUCAAGGUUAAUAAACUUGGCAAUUGACGUUACCGACAGAAGAAGCACCGGCUAACUCCGUGCCAGCAGCCGCGGUAAUACGGAGGGUGCAAGCGUUAAUCGGAAUUACUGGGCGUAAAGCGCACGCAGGCGGUUGAUUGAGUCAGAUGUGAAAUCCCCGGGCUUAACCCGGGAAUUGCAUCUGAUACUGGUCAGCUAGAGUCUUGUAGAGAGGGGUAGAAUUCCAUGUGUAGCGGUGAAAUGCGUAGAGAUGUGGAGGAAUACCGGUGGCGAAGGCGGCCCCCUGGACAAAGACUGACGCUCAGGUGCGAAAGCGUGGGGAGCAAACAGG